Molecule: ribosomal RNA, 253 nt
Filed under: uncultured bacterium
Lineage: Bacteria
Description: partial 16S ribosomal RNA
Rfam family: Bacterial small subunit ribosomal RNA
Source: RNAcentral
UACGUAGGGAGCAAGCGUUAUCCGGAUUUACUGGGUGUAAAGGGCGCGUAGGCGGGAUGGCAAGUCAGAUGUGAAAUCCAGGGGCUCAACCCCUGAACUGCAUUUGAAACUGUCGUUCUUGAGUACUGGAGAGGUUGACGGAAUUCCUAGUGUAGCGGUGAAAUGCGUAGAUAUUAGGAGGAACACCAGUGGCGAAGGCGGUCAACUGGACAGCAACUGACGCUGAGGCUCGAAAGCGUGGGGAGCAAACAGG